This 798-nucleotide long non-coding RNA is filed under the name Homo sapiens (human). Its description in RNAcentral is "HSALNT0337755". Lineage: Eukaryota; Metazoa; Chordata; Mammalia; Primates; Hominidae. The record is from RNAcentral.
ACACUGAGUAACUGGGGUAGACACAGAGGGGGGCAUCUGGGGCUCUCCCGAGGCCAAGGUUGGGACCCAGAAGAGAUGAAUUUCCCUGGGUGCACAGGGUGGGAGGGAGGUGGGGCUGGAAGAACUUGAUCUGGAGGGAUGAUCCCGAAGGCUCCCAGUGAAGAAGGCCAGGAAGAGCAGAGGAUGGUGCCAGGAGGAUGAUGUCGGGGGACACAGGCAGCUCAUGCCUGGAUCAGGCAGUGACUGGUGUGUGUGUGUGUGUUAUGAAGAGAGAGGGAUGGAAAUUGUGACCAGAGAGUUGGAGUUGGGACCCCUGUCUUGAUCACUUGAGCAUCAGCAGCUCCAGGGAAGAACACAUUCUGAAGGAGGAACUCUCCAGCUAGGAUUUCAUCCUGUCCUAGAGGACACGAAGAGGUGGAGACCACCCCCACAACUAAACUUGAGGAUUACUAAGGCAAUGGGGACUGCCUAGGAAUAUUUUUGAGGGGGUAAAAGCACCCCAUAAUUGUGCUAAGUAACAAAAGACAGAACAAGCAGCCUUAAAACAUUCUACAUGAUACACUGGUAUUAGAAUAAUAAGAUCUUAAAGACCAUCCACUUGAAAACUGGAUUUGCCCCUGGUCAUAUGGGCAGACCCAUGGCAGACAAAGAACUAGAAGUUCCUCCUAACUCCCAACUCAAUGUCCUUUCCUUAAAGAAUAACUGUUCUUUAUUAUAAAUAGGCCAAGCUUUUAUUAUUUAGUAUAGAACUCAGGCUGAUAUUUUUAUUGAUGGAUUAAAAUUUGAAUUAUUUCUGUA